GAGGGUAUGGCUCAGUGGCAGAGCGUGUGCUUAGCAUGCACGAGGUCCUGGGUUCAAUCCCCAGGACCUCCA
Molecule: transfer RNA, 72 nt
Filed under: Camelus dromedarius (Arabian camel)
Lineage: Eukaryota; Metazoa; Chordata; Mammalia; Artiodactyla; Camelidae
Also listed under: 2 other names
Rfam family: tRNA
About the family: Transfer RNA (tRNA) molecules are approximately 80 nucleotides in length. Their secondary structure includes four short double-helical elements and three loops (D, anti-codon, and T loops).
Source: Rfam by way of RNAcentral